Molecule: long non-coding RNA, 259 nt
Organism: Aedes aegypti (yellow fever mosquito)
Lineage: Eukaryota; Metazoa; Arthropoda; Insecta; Diptera; Culicidae
Exons: 2
Source: RefSeq, a predicted model, not a curated record
GUUCUGAAAUUGCUGCUGGAAGCAUCAAUUUGAUGUUUGAUGCCCACUUGGAUAUAGCUCCGGAUAAUAUAUACAUGAUUAGAAAUACUAUAAUCGAAGUUACCAUUUGUGGCUAUCGUGAGCAACUGUGAUCAAAGUUACCUUUGAAGAUCUGAGCUGCCAAUCGUCAUCGACCUGAUUUGUUAUUCCUAAUCAAGCCCUCAUCAAGAGCAGACGUAUUUUAUUACAACUCUACAAUAAACUGUUAUUUGUUCAUCAA